AGCAGCCGCGGUAAUUCCAGCUCCAAUAGCGUAUAUUAAAGUUGUUGCAGUUAAAAAGCUCGUAGUUGAAUUUCGGAAUCUGUCCGUUGGUCGGGCUUCACUGUCCGUACUGGUGUGAUGAGUUCUUACCUUCUGAAUAACCAGCAUGCCAUUCAUUUGGUGCGCUGGGGAAGCAGGACUAUUACCUUGAAAAAAUUAGAGUGCUCAAAGCAGGCUAGUGCCUGAAUACAUUAGCAUGGAAUAAUAAAAUAGGACGGCAUGGUUCUAUUUUGUUGGUUUCUAGGAUCACCGUAAUGAUUAAUAGGGAUAGUUGGGGGCAUUAGUAUUCAAUUGUCAGAGGUGAAAUUCUUGGAUUUAUUGAAGACUAACUUCUGCGAAAGCAUUUGCCAAGGAUGUUUUCAUUAAUCAAGAACGAAAGUUAGGGGAUCGAAGACGAUCAGAUACCGUCGUAGUCUUAACCAUAAACUAUGCCGACUAGGGAUCNAGGGAUGUUAAUUUUUUAAUGACUCG
RNAcentral lists this ribosomal RNA (510 nucleotides) under uncultured Glomeromycotina. Its description in RNAcentral is "SSU rRNA". It matches the Rfam family "Eukaryotic small subunit ribosomal RNA", at positions 569 to 1078 of the family's 1831-position model. The record is from RNAcentral. Lineage: Eukaryota; Fungi; Glomeromycota.